This 1140-nucleotide ribosomal RNA is filed under the name uncultured Croceitalea sp. Its description in RNAcentral is "bacterial SSU rRNA". It matches the Rfam family "Bacterial small subunit ribosomal RNA", at positions 297 to 1446 of the family's 1533-position model. Lineage: Bacteria; Pseudomonadati; Bacteroidota; Flavobacteriia; Flavobacteriales; Flavobacteriaceae. The record is from RNAcentral.
AAGGGGAUCCCCCACACUGGUACUGAGCACGGACCAGACUCCUACGGGAGGCAGCAGUGAGGAAUAUUGGACAAUGGAGGCGACUCUGAUCCAGCCAUGCCGCGUGCAGGAUGACGGCCCUAUGGGUUGUAAACUGCUUUUAUACGGGAAGAAAAAAGGGUACGUGUACCCUACUGACGGUACCGUAAGAAUAAGGACCGGCUAACUCCGUGCCAGCAGCCGCGGUAAUACGGAGGGUCCGAGCGUUAUCCGGAAUCAUUGGGUUUAAAGGGUCCGUAGGCGGGCGUAUAAGUCAGGGGUGAAAGUUUGUGGCUCAACCAUAAAAUUGCCCUUGAUACUGUAUGUCUUGAGUUAUGGUGAAGUUGCCGGAACAUGUGGUGUAGCGGUGAAAUGCAUAGAUAUCACAUAGAACACCAAUUGCGAAGGCAGGUGACUAACCAUAUACUGACGCUGAUGGACGAAAGCGUGGGGAGCGAACGGGAUUAGAUACCCCGGUAGUCCACGCCGUAAACGAUGGAUACUAGCUGUCGGGACUUCGGUCUCGGCGGCCAAGCGAAAGUGAUAAGUAUCCCACCUGGGGAGUACGUUCGCAAGAAUGAAACUCAAAGGAAUUGACGGGGGCCCGCACAAGCGGUGGAGCAUGUGGUUUAAUUCGAUGAUACGCGAGGAACCUUACCAGGGCUUAAAUGUACAUUGCAUAGCGUAGAGAUAUGCUUUUCUUCGGACUAUGUACAAGGUGCUGCAUGGUUGUCGUCAGCUCGUGCCGUGAGGUGUCAGGUUAAGUCCUAUAACGAGCGCAACCCCUACCGUUAGUUGCCAGCAUUUAAAGAUGGGGACUCUAACGGGACUGCCGGUGCAAACCGUGAGGAAGGUGGGGACGACGUCAAAUCAUCACGGCCCUUACGUCCUGGGCCACACACGUGCUACAAUGGCCGGUACAGAGGGAAGCCACCACGUAAGUGGGCGCGGAUCUAUAAAACCGGUCACAGUUCGGAUCGGGGUCUGCAACUCGACCCCGUGAAGCUGGAAUCGCUAGUAAUCGGAUAUCAGCCAUGAUCCGGUGAAUACGUUCCCGGGCCUUGUACACACCGCCCGUCAAGCCAUGGAAGCUGGGGGUGCCUGAAGUCCGUCACCGUAAGG